RNAcentral lists this ribosomal RNA (639 nucleotides) under Escherichia coli. RNAcentral describes it as "bacterial SSU rRNA". It matches the Rfam family "Bacterial small subunit ribosomal RNA", at positions 893 to 1532 of the family's 1533-position model. Lineage: Bacteria; Pseudomonadati; Pseudomonadota; Gammaproteobacteria; Enterobacterales; Enterobacteriaceae. The record is from RNAcentral.
GUUAAAACUCAAAUGAAUUGACGGGGGCCCGCACAAGCGGUGGAGCAUGUGGUUUAAUUCGAUGCAACGCGAAGAACCUUACCUGGUCUUGACAUCCACGGAAGUUUUCAGAGAUGAGAAUGUGCCUUCGGGAACCGUGAGACAGGUGCUGCAUGGCUGUCGUCAGCUCGUGUUGUGAAAUGUUGGGUUAAGUCCCGCAACGAGCGCAACCCUUAUCCUUUGUUGCCAGCGGUCCGGCCGGGAACUCAAAGGAGACUGCCAGUGAUAAACUGGAGGAAGGUGGGGAUGACGUCAAGUCAUCAUGGCCCUUACGACCAGGGCUACACACGUGCUACAAUGGCGCAUACAAAGAGAAGCGACCUCGCGAGAGCAAGCGGACCUCAUAAAGUGCGUCGUAGUCCGGAUUGGAGUCUGCAACUCGACUCCAUGAAGUCGGAAUCGCUAGUAAUCGUGGAUCAGAAUGCCACGGUGAAUACGUUCCCGGGCCUUGUACACACCGCCCGUCACACCAUGGGAGUGGGUUGCAAAAGAAGUAGGUAGCUUAACCUUCGGGAGGGCGCUUACCACUUUGUGAUUCAUGACUGGGGUGAAGUCGUAACAAGGUAACCGUAGGGGAACCUGCGGUUGGAUCACCUCCUU